Panicum virgatum (switchgrass) is the source of this 724-nucleotide long non-coding RNA. RefSeq lists it as uncharacterized. The record is from RefSeq and is a predicted model, not a curated record. The transcript is spliced from 3 exons. NCBI's taxonomy places the organism in Eukaryota, Viridiplantae, Streptophyta, Magnoliopsida, Poales, Poaceae.
CCUCGACGCUGGCCGCGGGGUGAGAGUGAGGGCGAAGCCGAGAUCCAAAGCCCCAAUUCACCGCCGGCGGCUGCCCUAAAACCGACGCGGCCCAUUCCUCCUCCGCCACCGCGGCAAGCAGCAGGAGGAGGGCGGCGCCGGCCCCCUCGACAGGUCGAUCGCGUCCACGUCCGCGCACGCCGCCACCCAUCGCUUCCUCCUCCGCCACCGCGGCGAGCAGCAGCUUGAGAGGCGACGCCGGCCUAUUGCAAGGUGCUCCUUGCUGGUUUCUGGUUUUCCUCUUGAGUAUACUUAUCUGAUAUUGCUCUUUCCGGUUUUGUAGUGAUCAAAAUUCUCGGUGAUUAGAUGAACUGUGACAUUAUAAAGAUUGCUGAACUUGUAAGGAAUAAUUUUCUGCAAAAAUAUGUCUGUUGACGUCGUUUAGAUACGCGUGCCUAGUCGAGAUAAUCCCCAGAGACGCCACUCCCACAAGAGAUCUGCCGACACGCAAAACAAAAAAGAAGCACUGGCUGUUCUAGGCUUCUAGCUUGGUAGGCUCCGGCAAUUUAUCGGAUCUGCUCUGGGUCUUCUCUAAGUAGUCCAGCUGCAUCUGUAACCGUAGUUUCACCUUUAUUUGUUAACAUUGUGAGCUGAACUGUGACCUGGAAACUCAUGUAAGCUUAUAUACAGUGAAGUGUAAAUUUUUUCUCUUGUGUGUAUGUCGGGCCGAUUCCCCUUUCUGUAA